Molecule: ribosomal RNA, 109 nt
Filed under: Erpetoichthys calabaricus (reedfish)
Lineage: Eukaryota; Metazoa; Chordata; Cladistia; Polypteriformes; Polypteridae
Source: RNAcentral
GCUUACGGCCACACCAGUGUGAAUGUGUCUGAUCUCGGAAGCUAAACACACUUGGGCUCGAUCAGUACUUGAUUGGGAGACCGCCUGGGAACCCCGAGUGCUGUAAGCU